RNAcentral lists this unclassified non-coding RNA (336 nucleotides) under soil metagenome. RNAcentral's name for it is "partial contains 5.8S ribosomal RNA, internal transcribed spacer 2, and large subunit ribosomal RNA". The stretch from base 2 to 119 matches the Rfam family "5.8S ribosomal RNA", at positions 37 to 154 of the family's 154-position model. The record is from RNAcentral.
GUGAAGAACGUAGCGAAAUGCGAUAAGUAAUGUGAAUUGCAGAAUUCAGUGAAUCAUCGAAUCUUUGAACGCACAUUGCGCCCGCCAGUAUUCUGGCGGGCAUGCCUGUUCGAGCGUCAUUUCAACCAUCAAGCCCCCGGGCUUGUGUUGGGGUCCUGCGGCUGCCGCAGGCCCUGAAAAGCAGUGGCGGGCUCGCUGUCACACCGAGCGUAGUAGAUUUUAUCUCGCUCAGGGCGUGCUGCGGGUUCCGGCCGUUAAACCACCUUCAUAACCCAAGGUUGACCUCGGAUCAGGUAGGAAGACCCGCUGAACUUAAGCAUAUCAAUAAGCGGAGGA